GACGAACGCUGGCGGCGUGCUUAACACAUGCAAGUCGAACGGAAAGGCCCUGCUUUUGUGGGGUGCUCGAGUGGCGAACGGGUGAGUAACACGUGAGUAACCUGCCCUUGACUUUGGGUUAACUUCAGGAAACUGGGGCUAAUACCGGAUAGGAGCUCCUGCUGCAUGGUGGGGGUUGGAAAGUUUCGGCGGUUGGGGAUGGACUCGCGGCUUAUCAGCUUGUUGGUGGGGUAGUGGCUUACCAAGGCUUUGACGGGUAGCCGGCCUGAGAGGGUGACCGGCCACAUUGCGACUGAGAUACGGCCCAGACUCCUACGGGAGGCAGCAGUGGGGAAUAUGGCACAAUGGGCGGAAGCCUGAUGCAGCAACGCCGCGUGCGGGAUGACGGCCUUCGGGUUGUAAACCGCUUUCGCCUGAGACGAAGCGUGAGUGACGGUAAUGGGUAAAGAAGCACCGGCUAACUACGUG
This 468-nucleotide ribosomal RNA is filed under the name uncultured bacterium. RNAcentral describes it as "partial 16S ribosomal RNA". It matches the Rfam family "Bacterial small subunit ribosomal RNA", at positions 28 to 507 of the family's 1533-position model. The record is from RNAcentral.